This 85-nucleotide long non-coding RNA is filed under the name Anas platyrhynchos platyrhynchos (common mallard). Its description in RNAcentral is "lncRNA (ENSAPLG00000019629.1)". The record is from RNAcentral. Lineage: Eukaryota; Metazoa; Chordata; Aves; Anseriformes; Anatidae.
AUUUUAAUAAAUAAAUAUUAAUAGCUCACAGCUUCAAAAAGAACCAGGUAGCUUGUUGGAGCAGCGAGUGACACACAUUCCCUGG